AUUGAACGCUGGCGGCAUGCCUUACACAUGCAAGUCGAACGGCAGCACGGGUGCUUUCACCUGGUGGCGUUUGGCGCACUCGUGUGUAAUACAUCUGAACAUGUCCUUUAUUUGGCUUUAGCCCCUCGAAAGCCGGUUUACUACUGCCUACUAUCUUCUUUUGCCAGCGUGUUCCCUUCUGGCCUCGCGCUUUUGUGUUUCUCUAUGGUUGAUUAGCUAGUUGGUGUGGUAAAGGCCUACCAAGGCGACGAUCAGUAGCUGUUCUGAGAGGUCGAUCAGCCACACUGGAACUGAGACACGGACCAGACUACUACGGGAGGCAGCAGUGGGGAAUAUUGGACAAUGGGCGAAAGCAUGAUAGAGCAAAGCCGCGUGAGUGAAGAAGGACUUCGGGUUGUAAAGCACUUUUGUCCGGAAAGAAAAAAUGGGAAAGAAAACGGUCGGGGGAUGACGGUACCGGAAGAAAAAGCACCGGCUAACUACGUG
RNAcentral lists this ribosomal RNA (486 nucleotides) under uncultured bacterium. RNAcentral's name for it is "partial 16S ribosomal RNA". It matches the Rfam family "Bacterial small subunit ribosomal RNA", at positions 30 to 507 of the family's 1533-position model. The record is from RNAcentral.